This 26-nucleotide non-coding RNA is filed under the name Mus musculus (house mouse). The record is from RNAcentral. Lineage: Eukaryota; Metazoa; Chordata; Mammalia; Rodentia; Muridae.
UGCGAUCAGACAUGCUGGAUGUAGAU